Molecule: ribosomal RNA, 459 nt
Filed under: uncultured bacterium
Lineage: Bacteria
Description: partial 16S ribosomal RNA
Rfam family: Bacterial small subunit ribosomal RNA
Source: RNAcentral
CCUACGGGAGGCAGCAGUGAGGAAUAUUGGUCAAUGGGCGGGAGCCUGAACCAGCCAAGCCGCGUGAGGGAAGAAGGUCCAGCGUAUCGUAAACCUCUUUUGUCAGGGAACAAAGGCGGGGACUAGUCCCCGGAUGAGGGUACCUGAAGAAAAAGCAUCGGCUAACUCCGUGCCAGCAGCCGCGGUAAUACGGAGGAUGCGAGCGGUAUCCGGAUUUAUUGGGUUUAAAGGGUGCGCAGGCGGCCUGUUAAGUUAGCGGUAAAAGUCCGGGGCUCAACCCCGGCGAGCCGUUGAAACUGGCGGGCUGGAGUUGGAGAGAAGGACGCGGAAUGCGCGGUGUAGCGGUGAAAUGCUUAGAUAGCGCGCAUAACCCCGAUUGCGAAGGCAGCGGACCGGCUCCACACUGACGCUGAGGCACGAAAGCGUGGGUAGCGAACAGGAUUAGAUACCCUUGUAGUC